RNAcentral lists this ribosomal RNA (966 nucleotides) under Triticum aestivum (bread wheat). RNAcentral describes it as "partial small subunit ribosomal RNA". Lineage: Eukaryota; Viridiplantae; Streptophyta; Magnoliopsida; Poales; Poaceae. The record is from RNAcentral.
AUGGAAUCAGAUUCUGUCAACAGAGAUGACCCGUCUGAAGAGGCGAGGGUGCUGCCAUUGGCUCUGUUUGCCAUGGAACACAACAGCAAGAAGCGGCUGCUGUUCGAUGUUUCCAGCGGAAACAUCUGCGGGAUAACCAGCGCGCUGUUUCCAGACGCCUUUGUCGAAUUCGAGAGCUGCGGCUGGCUUCUCAUGGUCCGACACAAGCCAUUCCACUUCCAAGAGCAGGUCGUCUUCCUAGUCCACCCUAGCACCGGCAGGCGGAUCGACAUGCCGGUGCUUCGCUCCCCCGACAAGUGCUACUUCGUUUUCUACGCUGAUCCUCGUCGCGGAAGUGGGGCUCCCCUGGUUGUUGCGUGCGUCCAGAUCAUGAGCGUCGUUCCGACCGUCCAUGUCGCGUGCCCUGGAGACGUGUACUGGUGCGUCCACAAGCAUACCUGCCAACUGCGCCUGUCGGAAGCAAUGUGCAAAUCCUUCCACAACACUUUGAUCAUGGACGUGGCACUGGUCGGGACACAGGCCGUCUGCGCCGAAUUUCUCGGGCAGAUCCUGAUCUUCGACAUCACAGAAAUGGCCUGGAGAGCGGCCUCUUGUCCAGAGUGGAGCAUACAAGACGCCCACUACCUUGUUGCGUCCAUUGGGAAAGUUGUGAUUGUAUCGUGUCCCCGUGCGAGUGCUUUCAAGUUCUUGCAGCUGGACAUGGAAGCGCUGGCGUGGUCGCCCCUCGAUGACCAGGAGCUUGAGGACACCAGCUGGUUUCUUUCCCAGGGCCAGUCCAUCCGUGUGAAGGAGGAAGGCAGGAGGAAAGUCUACACUUUCCAUCCAAGAGGACGUGGUAACUUAGCGACAGAGAGCUCGGAUGGAUGGACAAUAACAUCAGGGCCUGCCACAUUGAAGACCAUCACAAAUAUUUAUGCAUCUAUAUCUAUAUCUAUAUCUAUAUCUAUACUACUAUUAAAAGAGUAA